This 1152-nucleotide long non-coding RNA is filed under the name Mytilus galloprovincialis (Mediterranean mussel). Lineage: Eukaryota; Metazoa; Mollusca; Bivalvia; Mytilida; Mytilidae. The record is from RNAcentral.
GAGAAUUUUCCCCUCACAAUUAAUAACUGUUUCUACAGAUUGUGUACUUUGAAAUUAAUGUUUUACCCAAAAACUGGUUGAAAUUCAAUUUAUUAGAGUUAACAGAAAAAUUCAAAACAGUUACAAUUUGUGAGCACAGAAAGUUAUUGAGACCUCUCUUCUUCAUCAUAAAGUCCAGAAUGGAAGACAUCUGGAUUUUCAAACUUGCAACAUCCUAAAUCUCGGGAUUUAAUUUGCAACAUUUGGAUACCUUAUAGAUUAAAUUUAGAAAGAGGUUAUUGACCUAUUAAGUGACAGUAAAUCCACAUUAUAAUGGGACGAGUGUACUUGUCAUGAUAACUUUCUAGCCGUAGAGUUCAUAACCUUUUUAACUAAUAUUACAUUUUUUUAUGAGUUUGAUUUUGAUUUAAAUUUUUACUUUAUUUUUUAUAAGUUGAUUUAUAAAAAAAUUUAGAAACAUUUAUUUCAACGUACAUAAUUAUAAUCUAUAGGCACAUUAUUAAUUGUGACUUCAAAUUGAGAGACCUGAAUUAAGUACUCAAGAGAAAGAAAAUACCAUGUAAAUUUAACAUGAUGACUGGGUUUAGAAUACCAAAACAUGUUGAUGUAAUAAGUAAAUAAUAUCUGCAAUCAUUUGAAGUGUUGUGUCCUUUACUACAUUGUACUUUGUCAUAUUGGAAAAAAUGAAUAAAAAAUAAAUCUAAUAAAUCUGCACACAAAAGAGUCCUUUAUAUUCAUGUAACUAGUAAAGAUGUGUAUGAACUUUGUAGUUGUCUAAGAAAAGUUGAAAAUAAUUAAUUCUAGAAGAGCAUUAGUUUUCAUCUAGUCAUUACAUAUGCUCAUGGUUGUUGCAAUGAACAGUGAUUCUGGAAUCGAUCUGUGUAUUAAAAUGACUUUUGUCAGGUAUUAAAAUUUUGCUCAGGAAAAACUAAAAAAAUGGAGGACAAUAGGUUUUUAUAUUUUGUCAUGAUGAUCAGUUCCUUACAUAGAGUGGGGUGCUCAUUUUCGCCACAUCUUUCCAUGUUUUCUACAGUUUAUGUUCAGGUCUAAAUGUUUUUGAAGUAUACUGAUAUUUCUAUAUGAAGAAAACUUCAAAUGCAAAAUAUACUUCAGCUUGAAAACCGGUUUGUUUUAAGAAAAUCAUCUGAAAAG